CGAGAUGUCUGCAGUCACCCUGAAAAAUGAGAACCAGGUAGACAAAGAGCCAAGUGUUACAACCACUUUGAGGAGCCUCUAUUCAAUCAUCAGCUGUGUCUCAGCUAGAAUUAAUUGCAAAUUUGGAAUUAAGCUGAGGCCUGACCCUUGCAUUGCUCUUGUGAGCCUGGUUCUCACUGUCUCUCUGCAGCCGGGAUUGCUUUUGUCGGUGGUGGCUUGGUCUUGCUCCUACCUGAGACAAAGGGAAAAACUCUGCCUGAGACCAUUGAAGAUGCUGAAAACAUGCACAGACCUGCUUUUACUGGGCAGCAGUGGAGGCGCCAGCACAACAGACCCCACCCAGCACUGAGGAAAGAACCACGCAGACACAGCCUGCCCUUCUUCAGCUUGCUCUCCCGCUGCCACCAGCCACAGCCAUGCCAGUUGACUCCAUAGAUUUCCACUUCAGGCUCUCACAGACAAUCUUCCACUGAAUUUCUCUAUUUGUCUUCUGAGAACUUUCACACUUCCAGGGUCCCCAGACAUCUGACAACAGUGACUUUUGCAGCCCAGGCAGGACACUCAUGAAGGAAUGCUUUCUUCUCACUUGCAGCUCAUUUUCAUAGCAAGCAGGAAUGUAUUUGUACUCCCAACCCACCUCCACACCGCACCUAAUAUUACAUGAAAGAAAGCAUGUAGAUAGUGGCUGAUUUAGUGUCACUGCUCAUACACCCCUGAAAAUCUCAGUGCCUGAUGCUGAGCAGGCUCAGCUCUUACCACCCUAUAGUGAACACCUCUGCAGAGCACGCUUAGGGAGUCCAUGAGUAUCCACUAGAACUUCCCACUUAGUUCUCCAGAAAAGGUGGAAUAAACUAAGUGGGGGGACGGGGGGAAAAUCUGGUUCCAGACUAACAUUUAAGCUUUGGCAUCCCAGAAUUUGAUUGGCUAUGAGACAAGCUGGAAAAUGAGAAGGAAGGGAAGAAGGAGCUGCAGGCAGCUGAGCCUUAGGCCAUGAGGCUCUGAGUGCUACUGCCCUAUCUCGAGGGAUCAGUGAUGGGGCAAGGAGAGAAAGCCUCAUCACAUACAUCCACUGGGAGCAGCACAAGCAAUAAUACAACACAGCACUCUGUACAAUAAAGUAAAUUCCUGAUGUUUUAGUAUGCAUUGCUUUCCUAAUGCUGUGGUUUGGGCUUUUUGCAUGGCCAAGCUCCAAAAUAUCUAUGAGUAAUAUGAAUUAAGGGAAAAGAUGAGCCGCAAAGGAUCUAGCUUUCUAGGUAGACCUCUAUUUAUAACAUGCUGAAAUAUAACAACUGUAGGGCUUUUCAAGGUUGAAAGUCCUCUCCCUAGCCCUUGGGAAUCUCAUAAAGUGGUUCACAUCACAUUCAGCAGCUUUUAUGUAUGCAAUGCAUUUUGGUUUGCCUCCUGACCAGUCCCAUUUCUUGGCUCCUCUCACCCUAUUUUUUGUACAAAGUUUUUGACAGGUUUCAAAUCAGUAUACCACAACAAAAACAACAGUUCUGACAGAUUUCUUUUGGUAUGGAGCUGAGAUCUCUUGGCAAUUACAGCAGGAGAGCAGCCUCAUAGACACACCCAAUUGCAUCCUCACUGUCCCUCAAGGCCAAAUUGACCCUACAGCAAAUGCUAGUUUUGCAACUGCCUGAGCUAGUGUCAUCUGGGGGCUCUGCUCAGCCGGACAACAUACUUCCCUGCCUUCAAGGCCCUCACAGCAAGACUGAACAUUAACUGCUGCUCAGGCCCAGUGAAAGCAAGGGCAAAGUCACCACACUGACAACCAAGUAGUCGUCCUGGGGCAAUUGGACAGUGCCUGUGAAUCUAGCAACAUUUUUGCUCAGCUGGGUGCUCUCUCUCCACAGACAACCAUUAAGCAGCAACAGUAUCCUUACC
Long non-coding RNA from Pavo cristatus (Indian peafowl), 1884 nucleotides. Lineage: Eukaryota; Metazoa; Chordata; Aves; Galliformes; Phasianidae. The record is from Ensembl.